GCCAGCCCGCUCAGAAACUUAAAGGAAGUUGACGGGGCCCGCACAAGCGGUGGAGCAUGUGGUUUAAUUCGAUGAUACGCGAGGAACCUUACCUGGGCUCAAAUGUAUGUUGACGUAUUCUGAAAGGGAUACUUCUUCGGACAAUAUACAAGGUGCUGCAUGGUUGUCGUCAGCUCGUGCCGUGAGGUGUCGGGUUAAGUCCCAUAACGAGCGCAACCCCUAUCAUUAGUUGCCAUCAGGUCAAGCUGGGGACUCUAAUGAAACUGCCUACGCAAGUAGUGAGGAAGGUGGGGAUGACGUCAAAUCAGCACGGCCCUUACGUCCAGGGCUACACACGUGCUACAAUGGCCGGUACAAAGGGCAGCUACCUGGUGACAGGAUGCAAAUCUCCAAAGUCGGUCUCAGUUCGGAUCGGAGUCUGCAACCCGACUCCGUGAAGUUGGAUUCGCUAGUAAUCGCGCAUCAGCCAUGGCGCGGUGAAUACGUUCCCGGGCCUU
This 497-nucleotide ribosomal RNA is filed under the name uncultured Sphingobacteriales bacterium. Its description in RNAcentral is "bacterial SSU rRNA". It matches the Rfam family "Bacterial small subunit ribosomal RNA", at positions 903 to 1382 of the family's 1533-position model. The record is from RNAcentral. Lineage: Bacteria; Pseudomonadati; Bacteroidota; Sphingobacteriia; Sphingobacteriales.